Molecule: long non-coding RNA, 725 nt
Organism: Vespa mandarinia (Asian giant hornet)
Lineage: Eukaryota; Metazoa; Arthropoda; Insecta; Hymenoptera; Vespidae
Source: RefSeq, a predicted model, not a curated record
UGUGUUAGUAACCAAUAAAUAUGAUGAGCUACUCUUGGUGAUAUCAAAGCACGUUCCAAUAAAAAUUUAGCCAAAGGAGAAGCUUCGUAUGUUUCAUGUUUCAAUGCUUGCAACAAUUGUGAAAAGCCGCUCAGUUAAGGAAGAAAGAGAAAAUGGAGAAGAUGAAAAAGAAGAAGAAGAAAAAGAAGAAGAAGAAGAAGAAGAAGAAGAAGAAGAAGAAGGUAUAUGAGCCGAUUCGGUAGGGGUCCGAUAAGGUGGUCCACGCAUUCGACUAAGGACGAAAAGAAAAGGAUCUCUAUUACAGCGGAGAGGUAUUGCUGCCUAUAAUCAGCUUAUGUGGUGCGAAGUAUGGGAUAUAAGGUAUAAACCAUAUAUAACGGUGAAAGGCAAAAAGGACUUCUGGGCAAAUUGGUAAGAGGAUAGGGGGAAAUAGGGGUGUCUCCACAUGGCCGAAUUGCGAUUAUUUAUAUUCAUAUCGAUGCAUGGAGAAAAGUUGGCAACCAUCUUCUUGUUACCACCAUCUAUAACUAACACGAAUAAGGACGAUCACCUAGAGCAACCAUUUUUCCAAAGGCUUUCGUCGAACGUUCGCAAUCGAACGUUCUUUCGUACAUGUUACACUACUGCUUACUACUACUGCAUCUCCAUCGGACAUAAAUACGAAAGGCACCCCGCUGUAGCGGUUUUGAGAUUUAUUGCAUAUGAGUUCUCGGAUUUGUCAAUCG